Molecule: long non-coding RNA, 1032 nt
Filed under: Rattus norvegicus (Norway rat)
Lineage: Eukaryota; Metazoa; Chordata; Mammalia; Rodentia; Muridae
Description: long non-coding RNA NONRATT016921
Source: RNAcentral
GUCAUAUGUCCUUGUAAGCAGUCUUUUCCAACAGGCUUCAGGGCAGCUAAGGGAAAGAAUUCAGGAGGUCAGGUGCCUAUAGGAUCUUUUCAGGUGAACUCAAGCUACUUAAACUCAUUAAUUUGAAAGGAGGCAUUUGAAGGAUUACACAUUUAAUUUAAGUAAAUGGUUUGAUAGACUGACGCACAUGAAUGCUUCUAGGAGGUGUUCUGUUUCAACAUCCAGUAAUUAAAAAAAAAAAAAAAAAACCACACACACACACACACCCCAAUACCUCUAGAGAAAGAAAUGCUUUAAAAUAUUUCCUUCUAUUUAACUCUCCAUUCUGAACCUUUGUAGGGUGAUAAGUAUUAAAUCCAUUUCUGGCUUCAUAGAGCUGGUAAAUCAUCCGCUGGGAUAUUUUAUUCAAAGUUUAGCCCUGAUGUGGUUGACAUUAUCUGUGGCUGUUGCUGCAGUUUGGAGCUGGGUAUGAGUGUGUUUGCCUCCCGUGGUAUCAGAGCGAGGUGAGGUUUGUCGACUCUGAUAUCGCAACCUGUACCCACUCUUCGGGCAUCUUCAGUCAGCCAGGAAGCACGGGGGCGAGAGGACUCUUUCUGUUUAAAUUAAUGUGGCUGCAGUAAUUCCCCUAAGUGUUCUUUUAGAAGUCAAUGUUGGGAAAAACCAGCAGGAGCUUGGGUGUAAUGCUUUCUGGUUCUCUUCCCAAGCAAUGCCGUGAGCUUUGACAGUGUCGUAAUUAAGUGGAGACCAAAAAAAAAAAAAAAAAAAAAAGUGUGCUAAGAAAGGAUGGUGGUUUGAAGUGGAAAAAUUGACCGUGUGGUUAAGAUUUGGUGAAUGGUGCAGCCUCACCUCUUCAAGUGUCUUCAAAGGGAAAAGAGCCUAUCUUCACUUCUGAUUACCACUAAUUAACAGGAGAUGGGUCCACUUGGAUUCCCAUGGUACAAGUUUAGGCAAGUGGCUUUCUGAGAAUGAAGUCCAUUCUUUCCUUAUUCUUGGGGGGGAAGGGGGGCAAAUAAUAAAUGUUCUCUUGGUGUU